UGGGGAAUCUUGCGCAAUGGGGGAAACCCUGACGCAGCGACGCCGCGUGGGCGAUGAAGGCCUUCGGGUCGUAAAGCCCUGUCGAGCGGGACGAAACGUGCGAGCUCUAACAUAGCUCGUGCCUGACGGUACCGCUAAAGGAAGCCCCGGCUAACUCCGUGCCAGCAGCCGCGGUAAUACGGAGGGGGCUAGCGUUAUUCGGAAUUAUUGGGCGUAAAGGGCGUGUAGGCGGCUUCGUGUGUCCCAUGUGAAAGCCCUCGGCUCAACCGGGGAACUGCAUGGGAAACUGCGGAGCUUGAGUCCGGGAGAGGUGAGUGGAAUGCCCAGUGUAGCGGUGAAAUGCGUAGAUAUUGGGAGGAACACCGGUGGCGAAGGCGGCUCACUGGACCGGUACUGACGCUGAGACGCGAAAGCCAGGGGAGCAAACGGGAUUAGAUACCCCGGUAGUCCUGGCUGUAAACGAUGAGAACUUGGUGUGGCGGGUAUCGACCCCUGCCGUG
Molecule: ribosomal RNA, 500 nt
Filed under: uncultured bacterium
Lineage: Bacteria
Description: bacterial SSU rRNA
Rfam family: Bacterial small subunit ribosomal RNA
Source: RNAcentral